Molecule: long non-coding RNA, 324 nt
Filed under: Brassica napus (rape)
Lineage: Eukaryota; Viridiplantae; Streptophyta; Magnoliopsida; Brassicales; Brassicaceae
Description: long non-coding RNA (BNAP_LNC013124)
Source: RNAcentral
AUCAUCCUAAGCAAAGUUUGCACACUAGGGUCGCCCAUAUCGCCUUGCUUGCUGGUUGGACCAGACGGCUUGAUGGUUGAAACGUCUGAAUAGAUAGCUGGAUCGUCUGUCUCGUCCUGAUCGAUGGUUGAGCUGAUCAGGAUCACAUCACACUUCCUCGAUCGAGACAAUUCCUCCACCAGAAGUUCAAUGAAAUUUGAGCUCAAUUCAAGAUAAAACACCAACCAACCUUCAACAACAACCGCCAAUGAGUAAGGAAAAGAAGACCGAGAAUCCAAAUCACCAUUGACCCGCCCGAGAAACACCUCUCCAGCUCGAUGGAAU